This 1073-nucleotide long non-coding RNA is filed under the name Castor canadensis (American beaver). Its description in RNAcentral is "lncRNA (ENSCCNG00000013811.1)". The record is from RNAcentral. Lineage: Eukaryota; Metazoa; Chordata; Mammalia; Rodentia; Castoridae.
CCCCCCAAGGCAGAGACUUUACCACUUGAGCAAUUCCUGCAGCACAGGAAACUUGAUAAAAGUACCGAUCUGCAAGCACAGCGUAAGAUGUUCAGGAGGCGUGGGGAGAAGCAGGUGUCUGGUCUGGAAAGUCGGGACUGGUUCUGCUCAACACACUUAGAGCCAAGGCUGGGCCAGGUUCGCCCAAGGGGAGGAAGCCUGUGCUGGGGGAGCCCUGGCCUCUGUGCUUUGGGUUCCGCAGAGCCAGGUAGUUGACAGGUCUCCCAUCACUCAGGCUUGACUGGGGAGGGGCCUGGAGCUUUAGCCAAUCAGGAUCGCCGAUUUGUGGCGGCAGGGGCUGUCCAAUGAGGGGCGCGGACGUGAGACCGCUUCCCAAAGCGUGAUCUUCUUUUCCGGCGCCGCCAUAUUUGAAAUCCGCUUUGGUGGUGAGACGUACAGGUGUCCGAGCCUCUUUGGCUCUGUCUCCCUGACUGCAGGAGCCUAGGGCCGACGCCAGGACGCCCGCGAAGGCGGAGGAUGGCUUGAUCAAGUUUUAGAGGAAGACAAUAUAAUUAUUUAUGACCUAUGGACACCUGGAGGAAGUGUGUGAGAAAUUUAUCCCGGAUACUUCUUUAGAACAAGAUCAGUGGCAGUAUCUACACCAGAACAUCUUUCCUUUUUGUCCAGAAUGAAUAAGGGUACAGACGUGCUUUGUGGCAAGGAAAAAGUCAGCUUUUCCUUAGUGAUCAGGAGUGAGAAGCACUUUCAUGGCGUUGAAUCUCAGCGGAGUAAGUUGAAUCAUUGCCGUACCCGUAUGCUUGCUGGUAUGAAGGAAAAAAGGAAAACUUUGGUAACUAAUAAAUUCCAUCACCAGGCGCUGGUGCUCACUCCUAUAACCCUAGCUACUCAAGAGGCAGAGAUCAGGAGGACUGUGGAUCAAAGCCAGCCAGGCAAAUAGUUCAAGAGACCCCAUCUCAAAAAAUCCAAUACACACACAAAAAAAAAGGCUGGUGGAGUGGCUCCAAGUGUAGGCUCUGUGUUCAAACCCAGGGCUGCUAAAUAAAUAAGUAAAUAAAUAAAUAAAAUGGAAAGAG